GCAGGUGCUGCUGGAAUGUUGCUACUUAGAAAUGGAAAGUUCACAAUUGGAAAGCUGAAAUCAUCUCUUUUGUCGUAACGUUUUGUUUUCAACCGACCCUCAUUGUCAAUUUCUAGAUGUAAGUCAAGAUAUGAGGCCGACUUAACUGUAUCUGUAGUAUCCUUUAUCUCUAGCUCGAUUGGAUAGAUGCGUUCCACAUAGUCACCAAAU
Molecule: long non-coding RNA, 210 nt
Filed under: Mytilus galloprovincialis (Mediterranean mussel)
Lineage: Eukaryota; Metazoa; Mollusca; Bivalvia; Mytilida; Mytilidae
Source: RNAcentral